GCGGGAGUAGCUCAGUGGUAGAGCAUCAGCUUCCCAAGCUGAGGGUCGCGGGUUCGACCCCCGUUUCCCGCUC
Molecule: transfer RNA, 73 nt
Filed under: Alistipes finegoldii
Lineage: Bacteria; Pseudomonadati; Bacteroidota; Bacteroidia; Bacteroidales; Rikenellaceae
Also listed under: 3 other names
Description: tRNA-Gly(ccc)
Rfam family: tRNA
About the family: Transfer RNA (tRNA) molecules are approximately 80 nucleotides in length. Their secondary structure includes four short double-helical elements and three loops (D, anti-codon, and T loops).
Source: RNAcentral